UUUUCUUUGGUGUAAAGCACAGGAACAUUUGAUUUUCCAGGAAAAAAAAUUUUUAAGAAAAG
This 62-nucleotide transfer RNA is filed under the name Pupilla muscorum. Its description in RNAcentral is "tRNA-Gln". The record is from RNAcentral. Lineage: Eukaryota; Metazoa; Mollusca; Gastropoda; Stylommatophora; Pupillidae.